This 512-nucleotide ribosomal RNA is filed under the name uncultured bacterium. RNAcentral describes it as "bacterial SSU rRNA". It matches the Rfam family "Bacterial small subunit ribosomal RNA", at positions 791 to 1307 of the family's 1533-position model. The record is from RNAcentral.
UAGUCCACGCCGUAAACGAUGAUAACUCGCUGUUGGCGAUACACAGUCAGCGGCUGAGCGAAAGCAUUAAGUUAUCCACCUGGGGAGUACGGUCGCAAGAUUGAAACUCAAAGGAAUUGACGGGGGCCCGCACAAGCGGAGGAACAUGUGGUUUAAUUCGAUGAUACGCGAGGAACCUUACCUGGGCUUAAAUGUAUUAGGACCGUUCUGGAAACAGGACUUCCCUUCGGGGCCUUUUACAAGGUGCUGCAUGGUUGUCGUCAGCUCGUGCCGUGAGGUGUCGGGUUAAGUCCCAUAACGAGCGCAACCCUUACCGUUAGUUGCUAACAGGUCAUGCUGAGGACUCUGGCGAGACUGCCACCGUAAGGUGAGAGGAAGGUGGGGAUGACGUCAAAUCAGCACGGCCCUUAUGUCCAGGGCUACACACGUGUUACAAUGGCCAGUACAAAGGGCAGCUACCUGGUGACAGGAUGCUAAUCUCUAAAGCUGGUCUCAGUUCGGAUCGAAGUCUG